AACGAACGCUGGCGGCAUGCCUAACACAUGCAAGUCGAACGAGACCUUCGGGUCUAGUGGCGCACGGGUGCGUAACGCGUGGGAACCUGCCCUUAGGUUCGGAAUAACUCCCCGAAAGGGGUGCUAAUACCGGAUAAUGUCUUCGGACCAAAGAUUUAUCGCCUUUGGAUGGGCCCGCGUUGGAUUAGCUAGUUGGUAGGGUAAAAGCCUACCAAGGCGACGAUCCAUAGCUGGUCUGAGAGGAUGAUCAGCCACACUGGGACUGAGACACGGCCCAGACUCCUACGGGAGGCAGCAGUGGGGAAUAUUGGGCAAUGAGCGAAAGCCUGAUCCAGCAAUGCCGCGUGAGUGAUGAAGGCCUUAGGGUUGUAAAGCUCUUUUACCCGGGAUGAUAAUGACAGUACCGGGAGAAUAAGCUCCGGCUAACUCCGUG
Molecule: ribosomal RNA, 433 nt
Filed under: uncultured bacterium
Lineage: Bacteria
Description: partial 16S ribosomal RNA
Rfam family: Bacterial small subunit ribosomal RNA
Source: RNAcentral